AAUCAGGUAGGAGUACCCGCUGAACUUAAGCAUAUCAAUAAGCGGAGGAAAAGAAACCAACCGGAUUGCCUUAGUAACGGCGAGUGAAGCGGCAAAAGCUCAAAUUUGAAAUCUGGUACCUUCGGUGCCCGAGUUGUAAUUUGGAGAGGGCAACUUUGGGGCCGUUCCUUGUCUAUGUUCCUUGGAACAGGACGUCAUAGAGGGUGAGAAUCCCGUGUGGCGAGGAGUGCGGUUCUUUGUAAAGUGCCUUCGAAGAGUCGAGUUGUUUGGGAAUGCAGCUCUAAGUGGGUGGUAAAUUCCAUCUAAAGCUAAAUAUUGGCGAGAGACCGAUAGCGAACAAGUACAGUGAUGGAAAGAUGAAAAGAACUUUGAAAAGAGAGUGAAAAAGUACGUGAAAUUGUUGAAAGGGAAGGGCAUUUGAUCAGACAUGGUGUUUUGUGCCCUCUGCUCCUUGUGGGUAGGGGAAUCUCGCAUUUCACUGGGCCAGCAUCAGUUUUGGUGGCAGGAUAAAUCCAUAGGAAUGUAGCUUGCCUCGGUAAGUAUUAUAGCCUGUGGGAAUACUGCCAG
This 567-nucleotide ribosomal RNA is filed under the name Saccharomyces ellipsoideus. Its description in RNAcentral is "eukaryotic LSU rRNA". It matches the Rfam family "Eukaryotic large subunit ribosomal RNA", at positions 9 to 580 of the family's 3401-position model. Lineage: Eukaryota; Fungi; Ascomycota; Saccharomycetes; Saccharomycetales; Saccharomycetaceae. The record is from RNAcentral.